AGAUGUGAGGACAAUCUGGCUGCGACAUCUGUCACCCAUUGACCACCAGGGUUGAUUCACUGGUUACACGGGUUUCCCCCUACUCCUUCACCAAUCCAUGUGCGUCCCUCCCGAAGCUGCAUGUUCCAUUGAAGAGGAUGACCUUUCCCCCAGAGAAGAGGACCAGUCUUCCACCAAGGGUAUAUAAGUAGCUCCCCUGCUAGAACUUAAAAAAAACACACAAAAAAACAACAACCAACACAAUAGCUAUCUGGUGUUAAUGAAUCAAAAUUAUUCCUUUUUUUGGUCAUAUUUGGCAAAUAUAUAUAUAUUUUGUGCC
Molecule: small nuclear RNA, 319 nt
Filed under: Myotis brandtii (Brandt's bat)
Lineage: Eukaryota; Metazoa; Chordata; Mammalia; Chiroptera; Vespertilionidae
Description: 7SK RNA
Rfam family: 7SK RNA
About the family: 7SK was discovered as an abundant small nuclear RNA in the mid-70s but a possible function has only recently been suggested. Two independent studies have found that 7SK RNA binds the CDK9/cyclin T complex (known as elongation factor P-TEFb).
Source: Rfam by way of RNAcentral